GUUAACAAGUGAAAGGACAAGAGGAAAUAGCCUUAAGUUGCACCAGGAAAUGGUUUAGAUUGGAUGUUAGGAAACAUUUCUCACUGAAAGGGUGGUCAAGCAUUGGAAUGGGCUGCCCAGAAAAGUGGUGGAGUCAAUAUCCCUGGAAGUGUUCAAAAAACAUGGGACGUGGUACUUGGAGACAUGGCUUAGUGGUGAACACAGCAGUGAUGGGUUAAUGGUAGGACCUGAUGAUCUUACAGGUCUUUUCCAACCUUAACGAUUUGGGGAUUCUAUGUACAGGAGGAAAGAGGGUUGAAUGUGAAGCAAAUGAGGAGUCAAUACCUGGAGAACAGAGGUUUUAUAUAUUAUCCUAGUAUUUGAAUACAUAUUGUGUAGUUCACAUGUAUUUAUACUUAGCUGCUACUGGAGGCUAGUCUCUGUACCAUGUUUGAUGAAGCUCUUCUCAAGGCAUUUGAGUGCAUUGCUCAAAUCUGGCCUAGACAGCCAACAAAUUUGGUAUGGACGUGAGCAAUAUGAGAAUAUCAGGCUCAUAAGGGUGCUCAGGAUGAAGUAUGCUACAUUAGAGGUUCUUCAAAUUGCCAAGAUGACCAAAAUCCUGAAAGCUGCACAGCCCUUCUGUACAUAUUGAUGGUCAUUUCAGUGGUGGUGUUAUAGACAGUCCAUAAUUUGCCUACUUCCUCCCUGUGGGACAUUUACUACAUGGCUUUAUCCCCUAGAUGUUCAGUGUACAGGACUGGGGAGUGGGUAUGAUCCAAGGCUGGAGGAUAUUAACAAACAUUAGUUUGGAUAUUCACUCCUCUAGUUUACAAGUAGUUCUUUGGAAACGAGCCUGACCUCCUUAGGUUUAUUGAAGGAAAGGUAUUAGAAGAAGGAUUUCCAAAGAAGGGCUAAAGAAGGGGUUGGUUACACAACUAAUUCCACAUCAUAGCCAUGAGCAUCUAAUCUAUCUCCCAGCCAUUCCUAUUACAUCUAAAUAGACCUGUUGUAAUGAAGCAUUGAGAGGUGAAAGAGGGGGUUAAUGUACUACUCUGUCAUUGCUGAAUGUAUCAUUUACAACUUGAUGGAGGUCACACAGGAAAAUAAGCAUGGUUGUCUCAGUUGAUUCUUCAGGGCAUGUCCAAUGCUGAAUUUUCCUGAAAUCUGCAGAUUUUGCAUUUGUUAAAAAUCUGCAUAAAUAAUGGUGAGAGAGGAGACUGUAAUGAACCUGUUAUGUAGGCAAAACAACACAUCUUGCUUUUAUUUAACACUAUACCCUUUUUACCUGGGGUUUACCUUUCUGGUGUGAUCUGUUUUCAUCCUCUCAGCUAAAGCAAAGUAAUAGCUACCCAGGGGCCAGUGAAAUAUAUGAAUGGGGCUGAGUUGGAAAGGGCAGCUCUACAGAUAUGCUGGACUGGGCCAAAGAACAAGGUGAGCAGAUUAGGCUAUAUAAAUAC
RNAcentral lists this long non-coding RNA (1436 nucleotides) under Cyanistes caeruleus (blue tit). Its description in RNAcentral is "lncRNA (ENSCCEG00000014992.1)". Lineage: Eukaryota; Metazoa; Chordata; Aves; Passeriformes; Paridae. The record is from RNAcentral.